RNAcentral lists this non-coding RNA (91 nucleotides) under chicken gut metagenome. RNAcentral describes it as "THF riboswitch". It matches the Rfam family "THF (Tetrahydrofolate) riboswitch aptamer". Rfam says of the family: THF riboswitch presents a pseudoknot that joins P1-P2 and the loop of P3 and two THF binding. The record is from RNAcentral.
AGUAGAAACUUGCGCGUCAAGUGCCGCUGAGACGGGGGGGUGCUCACGGACGAAAAGCCUUCGGGCUUGCGGUGCAUUUUUCACUCCCGCU